CAGCAAAAUGCUCCUCUUGAAAGCUGCAUGCACGUUAAGUGUGUGUGCUCCCAUCGUGAGCAUGGAUGAAGUUGUGUGCGUUGGCUGAUGGAUGUAAAAGCAGCUUUGUGAUCUAGAAGGAGUCAAGUCAACGGGGACAGACUCUUCCCGCUGGCAUGCAGCAACAGAACAAAGGGCAAUGGGCAGAAACUGGAACACAAGUACUAACACAAAGAAGAACUUCUGUACAGAGUGACAGAGCUGGAAGAAGCCGCCCAAAGAGGUGGAGUGGACCAGUCACCUUCACUGGACGUAUUCAAGACCCAUCUGGAUGCCUCUCUGUGUGACCUACUUUAGGGAAGCUGCUUUAGUGGGGAGGGUGGACUUCAGGAUCUCUGGAUGUCAUUUCCAACCCCUACAAUUCUGUGCCCUGCUGAGCCUGCUUGGUGAUCAUGGGUGGAGCUGCAGCUUUGCAUGUGAGCUCUGUGCUGCUCCGUCUCUCCCAUUACCAGUCUUGACUGUGGGGUCUCUAACGGCAUAGAGCUGCAAGGAGUACAAUUACUGCCUCAUCCAUUUAAGUUGAUCAGCAGUUCAUCUGACUGGGAAUCAGUAAUAUGCUUAAGGAAUUGUCACAGCACAAAAAUAAAGGGGAAUUGAGGGAUCUGAACAUCCGACUCUUCUCUGGUGCUUCAGAAAUAUCCUGCAAAGCUCUUCCACUGA
Molecule: long non-coding RNA, 699 nt
Filed under: Gallus gallus (chicken)
Lineage: Eukaryota; Metazoa; Chordata; Aves; Galliformes; Phasianidae
Description: long non-coding RNA NONGGAT005113
Source: RNAcentral